This 90-nucleotide transfer RNA is filed under the name Candidatus Bathyarchaeota archaeon. RNAcentral describes it as "tRNA-Leu". It matches the Rfam family "tRNA". From Rfam's summary of the family: Transfer RNA (tRNA) molecules are approximately 80 nucleotides in length. The record is from RNAcentral. Lineage: Archaea; Thermoproteati; Candidatus Bathyarchaeota.
GCGGGGAUCGCCUAGUCAGGUCAAAGGCGUAGAAGCAGUAAGAGCCUAUCCCGUAGGGGUUCGUGGGUUCAAAUCCCACUCCCCGCACCA